AGCGAACGCUGGCGGCAGGCCUAACACAUGCAAGUCGAACGGACCUUUCGGGGUUAGUGGCGGACGGGUGAGUAACACGUGGGAACGUGCCUUUAGGUUCGGAAUAAGCUCGGGAAACUGGGUCUAAUACCGAAUGUGCCCUUCGGGGAAAGAUUUAUCGCCGAAGGAUUAGCCCGCGUUGGAUUAGGUAGUUGGUGGGAUAAUGGUCUACCAAGCCGACGAUCCAUAGCUGGUUUGAGAGGAUGAUCAGCCACACUGGGACUGAGACACGGCCCAGACUCCUACGGGAGGCAGCAGUGGGGAAUUUUGGACAAUGGGGGAAACCCUGAUCCAGCAAUGCCGCGUGAGUGAAGAAGGCCUCGGGUUGU
This 368-nucleotide ribosomal RNA is filed under the name uncultured bacterium. RNAcentral describes it as "bacterial SSU rRNA". It matches the Rfam family "Bacterial small subunit ribosomal RNA", at positions 29 to 426 of the family's 1533-position model. The record is from RNAcentral.